CACAGUCAUGUGGAGGAGACCUUCUUUAAGACUUGCGGUUAAUACAGUGGGGUGGGGAGACCUCUCGACACUCGAGAGGAAUCAGAUUCAUGGAAGGAGUGCCAAAGUGGAAAGGGCGAUAUUUAGCGUAGAGAAAUCGGGAGAUGCUCGUCGCCAUGGCCACUCUUGGAUACAGAGGAGGUUUGGGAGCUUCACCGAAGACUUUUUGGCUAUCAACCUGAGGAAUGAUGGUAAUAUUAAGCAGUUGGUAAAAAGUAUGGAUGACCAUAAAGCGACGAGGAUCAGAAUCUUGUCAUUGAAUUUGGAGAUGUAGCAAGCUCAGAACUCGUCUUUGCCUUCUUGGAUGGCUAGCAAUGUUGUUGCAAACUUCUGGAGACAUUGGCUACUGAUGAAAUGGAUGGAGUUUAAAUUCUUUUCACCAAUUGCUCGAUAGACAUUUUUAGGCGAGAGGAAGGCGGGAGUACAACUCUUCGACAUUGUCUCUCAGAGUGAUUGGAAAAGCCUAACAUAUGAGAUUAUUUGUACCUGAAGAUAACCACAUGUUCUCCAUAGAGAUAGUACCUCUAUCGAAAGACGCCAGCAUGUUCCUCUUGUAUCAGUUGGAUAAAAGAAGAUUGGUUCUGAA
Molecule: long non-coding RNA, 625 nt
Organism: Musa acuminata AAA Group (dessert banana)
Lineage: Eukaryota; Viridiplantae; Streptophyta; Magnoliopsida; Zingiberales; Musaceae
Exons: 2
Source: RefSeq, a predicted model, not a curated record